UAUGUCUCUGCUCUUCUACAUGUGGUUAGGCAUUGUUCGGUUUGUAUUAAACAUGCCAGACUAACAAGCCAGAUGGAUGCUCUGGAAAUUCCAUAUGUUGAAGAGGUUGGACUAAGAAAUGCAUCCUCGAAUAUAUGGUUCCGACUUCCACUUGCCCGAGGCGAUUCAUGGCAGCACAUCUGCUUGAGGCUUGGGAGACCAGGGAGCAUGUAUUGGGAUGUCAAAAUAAAUGAUCAGCAUUUUAGAGACUUAUGGGAGCUUCAGAAGGGCAGCAGUAGCACACCUUGGGGC
RNAcentral lists this unclassified non-coding RNA (291 nucleotides) under Hevea brasiliensis (rubber tree). The record is from RNAcentral. Lineage: Eukaryota; Viridiplantae; Streptophyta; Magnoliopsida; Malpighiales; Euphorbiaceae.